CAGAGGAAAUCUCUGACACCAAAAAUAUUAAUAUUUCUCUUAUUAUAUUUUCUCAUCCUGGACAGAACAUCACCCUGCUCUGUAACAUCACUAAUUAUACUGAGAUAUCAUGGUAUCAACUGAGAUCUGAGGAGGUGAAGCUGCUGAUAUCUGCUGAAAAAGGGAACCUGAAGAAAACCUUUUUCUUCAUUUAUAAUGUGAACGAGAAUCACUUUGUUGUAACAGAAAGCAGCAGUUCAGUCGGUUUAGUGAUUACUGGAGUUAGAGAGACAGAUCUGGGAUUUUAUUACUGUGGAGGUCGAAACGACGCGACACACAUUCAGUUUGGGAAAGUCAUCAGACUGAACUUUCCAGGUGGGUGCCAAUACUUUAUUUACGUUGCUUGUUGAUAGUGCAUUUAGUUUUUGUGUUUAUAUUUACAUACUGAAUUACUGCAAUGUUAAUAAUUAUCUGAAGACUAUUUAAGAUGCAUUAUUGUUUAGUACUUGUAUCAGAGCACUGCUGAAUUCUGCAUUGUGAUUGGUCAGAAGGUGUUGAUUAAUUCUCUAUAACAGCAGCUCUGACACUAGUGCAGCUGCAAAUCACAGCUUUAUAUUAAUGCACUUGUUCUAAUACGUUAUCGUUUCUAUAGUAACAGCUCAUUCACAGGGACGCUCCACAUAAAUGGAUUAAAAACGUGUGUAAUUGUUGAUAUGGUGAUGUUUUCUGUAAGUAGAUGUUUAUUUAAAAUUUAAGAAAGGAGUCUCCAGUGUCAGCGCUUUGUAACAGUCAGAGGUAAAGCUGUAACUUUAACUUUUCCGACAAGCUGCGUUUUUUUGUCUAACUUGUUUCCUGGACAUUCCACAACAUUAAACAUAACUAGAAAUGAAUACACACUCGAAAUAAAACACUCGAAGUGUGCUGUUAUAAGAAAUGAAUGUGUUUGUGUGUGUGUGUGUGUGUGUGUGUGUGUGUGUGUGUGUCUGAUGAAUGUGUGUGCAUCUAAUGAAUGUGUUUGUGUCUAAUGAGUGUGAGUGUGUGUCUAAUGAAUGAAUGAAACCAGCAGUAUGAAUGCUGUUUAGGUCAAUUAUGACAGAAUUUUGUGUGGAUUGAAUUUUCUUCCAGACAAGUGUGUUAGCAGUAGAGACCUGAUCGAGAAGGAAGUCAAGCUGCAACACACUGCUGAUUUGACCUGUGUGACCUACACAAGAGUCUCCUGAAGGCCCAGAAACUAUUUAACAGCAUGAAUCACCACGUCACAGAGAACCUGCUAUGAUCUGGUCUACGUCUGACCACAGCAUUUAUUACAAUAAUUUUUAAUAAGUUUCAUUAAAUAGAUAGAUAUGUGAGAAUUAUUCUAAAAGCUGUGGUCAGUUUUCAUUUAAAGACGUUUCAGAAAUGGUAUUUAUAGCGGCUCUGAAUUCUGAGUAAAGGUCUGAGCUCAUGUUUCUGUUCAGCUGUGUGCUAUGUCCUGUUCAGACUGUGUGGUUAACACCACCAGUAGCCCUCAUCUUCCUUCCAUUUUAGGAUAUGUGAAGAAAGCAUUGUGUUGUGUUUUUUUUUUUUUUUGUUAGCAUUGUAGGUAGAUCUGUGUAAAGAACAUAAACUGAUAAAAUGUUGAUUGUGCUCGGAUCUAUAUGCACCUUCGUGAUGUGAGCAGUUUAUUGGACAGAUAAAAUACAGAGCAGGAUGUAGGACCAUGUGGCUAAAACCAGGCCUGAAAUGCACCCUGUUUUUUUUUUUUUUUUUUUUUUUUUUAACUCCACAAACUGAGUGUGAAACAUCAGCACUUUUUCUCAGAGUGCUGGAGGGUGUGUGUGAGACAUGGCCAAACUCCUGUCUACAUUUAUUCUACAGAUGCUGUUUGGUGAGUUCAUACACACAUUAGCAAAAUAGAUAGUAAACUAUAAAUGAGUGUUAUUAGCCACUGUACCUGUGAGAGUAUGAGUAAUGUUCAGGAAUGGAUUAAUGCACUAAGGCUGGUUUGGACAGUGAUGAUGAAUCUGCUCUCCUGUUGUGCUUUUAGCUUUCUUUACACCGUGUCUCCUUCAGAUUGCUUCAACUGAUCAUUUAUCUGUCCAUCCUGGAGAGAGCAUCAUCCUGCUCUGUAACAUCACUAAUUAUUCUGAGAUAUCAUGGUAUCGACUGAGAUCUGAGGAGGUGAAGCUGCUGAUAUCUGCUGUAAAAGGGAACCUGAAGAAACAGUUUAUCCUCAGUUAUAAUGUGAACAAGAUCAACAUCGUGAGACUGAUCACUCAGACACACAGCAGUCUGCACCUCCUGCACACUGUGGAGAUAUUAUUAUUAUUAUAAUAAUCCUGUCGUGUGUGUGUGUGGUCUCUGUUUCAAUAAGCAUCACCUGCUCCUCUCUGUACUGUUCCAGUCUACAAGAUAAGUGUUCUUUCACCGGGGACUCGGAUGAGAAGGUAGCAGAAAAACAAGGAAAUGUAGUUGAUAGAAGGCAGUGCUCAGAUCAUGUCACUAUUAAAGCAGACUAAAAAUGUCACAUUAUCAGAUGUUUCUCUGUGCAGGAAGUGGACCUGCAGCUGUCUGAUUUGACCUCUGUGACCUACACAUGUGUCUCCUGACAGCCCAGAAAACAUUAGCAACAAUUUAUAAAGCUUUAUAUAAACACAUGGACAGAGGUGUGGUGCAGUUUCCUGCUUUUAUUUCUGUACUUUUAUAGGGUUUAUAGACCUUAUAUUGCUAAUAGUUGCACAUGAUUUGUACUGCUUUUGUAGAGCUUUACUCUGUCAUUGUCUAUAAGAUUAAAAUGUAAGGAGGAAUACCAUGUUUCAACCGCACAGUGUUUCUUUAAACAGGCAGUGAAUGGCGCUUUGAGAUUGAAUAUGACUUGUACAUAGUCAGAUGGUGAUGAAAUGCGUGUGUAAGGCCAAUUCAUUUGUAAGUGCUAUACACCAAAACAUUUGGGUUUGAGAUCAAAAAAAUGGAUAUGAGACAGAAUUUAAGAGUUUAGGAUUUCAGCUUUUGUUUCUAAAUCUAGAUGUGUUAAAUCAUAGAACCUUUUGUAUCAGACAACCCAUUUUUUAGGUGAGCAAAAGUAUAGGAACAGAUAGGUUUUGAAGUAAGUCAAAGUAAAUAAGACAAUACUUGGUUGCAUAUCCCUUGCUUGCAAUAACUACAUCAAGCCUACGACUCACUGACAUCACCAAACUGUUGGUUUCUUCUUUUGUGAUGCUUUUCCAGGCUUUUACCGCAGCCUCUUUCAGCCUCUUUCAGCCUUCUUUACAUCUACAUAUAAAUACCAGGAAAUAAAAGCUGAAAUUCUAUGCUCUCUUCUCAUAUUCACCUUUUGAUCUCAAACUCAAAUGUCUUCAGUAGUAGUAUCAGAGGGGACUAUAUACCUUAUUGGUAGACAUAUUUUCACCAUAUUCCUAUACUGGGAAAUAAUAUAAUGUUUUUUUGUACCUUUUAAUAAUGUUGCAAGUAAUUGAUCUAAAACAUGUAAUAUCAGUGCGACAGAAGCAGCUCCACAAUCAGCCAUUAAAUAGUUUAAUAUAAAGGCUUGUGAUGGAAAUAAAUGAUUUAUCUUUACUGUAUGUUAGUGGUGUAGACAGUAAUACAGUAAUACAGGAAUGUAGCACAGUACAGUAUCUUUUUGCUGCCACCUACAGGUUGAAUUUAUUCAGUGUGUAAAGGGUUAAAGAAUAUAAAAGACAUUAUUUCUCUUUAAUUAGAGAGGUGAUUAUCAUUGAUGAUGUACAAACACAGAUGUAAUGACAUGCAAAACUAUCUGUUGAAGUCAAAUUGAGGUUUAGACAUUUAGAUUGAGAGAUUCAGAAUGAGAUUUUCUCUGUUUUUGUCUUAGACACAGCAGAUGCUGACACAAACACACACUAUAAAAGAUUACAAUGAUUGCACAUUUUACACUGAGAUUGUAAGUCUUAUCAUCCAGUUUUAAAUGUUCUCAUUUUAGUCCCUAUAACUUUUUUAAUUUAAAAUUGCAUACAUCACAGUGCUGUUGAAUUCUGGAUUGUGAUUGGUCAGAAGGUGUUGAUUAAUUUUCUAUAACAGCAGCUCUGACAGUAGUGCAGCUGCAAAUCACAGGUUUAUGUUAAUGCACUCGUUCUAAUAUGUUAUCGUUUUAAAAAAUGUGUGUAACUGUCGAUAUGAUGACAUUUUCUGUAAGGUGACAGACCUUAUCCUGAGAAGACUGGGCAGGAAUACAUUGUGCACACACUCAUUCACCCCUAGGGGCAAUUUAGCACAGCCGGUCCACUUCCCGGGGGGCACAGUGGCUUAGUGGUUAGCAUGUUAGCCUCUCUGUGCUUUGGGGGUUGCU
RNA transcript from Pangasianodon hypophthalmus (striped catfish), 4282 nucleotides. RefSeq lists it as uncharacterized. The record is from RefSeq and is a predicted model, not a curated record. The transcript has 4 exons. NCBI's taxonomy places the organism in Eukaryota, Metazoa, Chordata, Actinopteri, Siluriformes, Pangasiidae.